GAUGAAGAACGUAGCGAAAUGCGAUACGUAAUGUGAAUUGCAGAAUCCAGUGAAUCAUCGAAUCUUUGAACGCACAUUGCGCCCGCCAGCAUUCUGGCGGGCAUGCCUGUUCGAGCGUCAUUUCAACCCUCGACCUCCCCUUGGGGAGGUCGGCGUUGGGGACCGGCAGCACACCGCCGGCCCUGAAAUGGAGUGGCGGCCCGUCCGCGGCGACCUCUGCGCAGUAAUACAGCUCGCACCGGGACCCCGACGCGGCCACGCCGUAAAACACCCAACUUCUGAACGUUGACCUCGAAUCAGGUAGGACUACCCGCUGAACUUAAGCAUAUCAAUAAGCGGAGGA
RNAcentral lists this unclassified non-coding RNA (343 nucleotides) under soil metagenome. RNAcentral's name for it is "partial contains 5.8S ribosomal RNA, internal transcribed spacer 2, and large subunit ribosomal RNA". The stretch from base 1 to 120 matches the Rfam family "5.8S ribosomal RNA", at positions 35 to 154 of the family's 154-position model. The record is from RNAcentral.